AGCACUACUCACGGCCCAGUAGCACAUGCUUUGCGGCCCGGUGGUUGGAGACCACUGCUCUAAAGGAGUGGUCAAGAGACUGGAGGGGAAAUAAGGGAAAGGCUUUUCACCAGAGGACUGCACCUAAACAAUGUGAGGAAUCACAGGCAAGCUUCACUGGACAAUAUGGAUCAUAAUGUGACAGACACUGCAUCCAACCAUGGCCUGAGAGGCCACGCCUGUAACAAAUCGUCUCCUUUACCCUCUUGACGAAGGGACUUGGCCCGAAACGUCGACAGCGCUUCUCCCUAUAGAUGCUGCCUGGCCUGCUGCAUUCCACCAGCAUUUUGUGUGUGUUGUUUGAAUUUCCAGCAUCUGCAGAUUUCCUCGUGUUUGUCCUUUACUCUCCUAUGUCUAUUCCAGCAGUUCGUUGCUAAAGGCCCUGAUUGCUGGCACACAAAACAAGUUCUCUGUGAUGUCACAGCAGCUACAUUCACUACAGCCACUUUAUGACUUCCCCUCCCCAUCCUCCGGUCUAUCUCACUGGCCCCUGACACUAUCACUGAGUAGAUUGAUCCCAGCACUAUCCCCAAAUCUAAAACUUCCUGUUGGGCUGAGCUCAGGCCUUCCUUCAGCAUCUUCAGGAAGACUGACCCAUCCCUCUCCGGAUUUACCAACCCUGAAUACUCUUCAUACACUCGCUGUUUACGCUCUGCAUAUUGCAUGGCUGGCUCUUCAGCUCUCCGAAUCACUGACAUUAUCGUUCUCCAGUUACUCUCACCUUCCUCCUGUCGCUGUCUCACUUUUGCUUUGAAGAAGUGAUACCUCUCUUCAUUGCUGGCAUUCCUGGGGGCUGCCCAUGCACCAUCCUGGAUUCCCUGUCUGACAUAUCCCCUGGGCACUUUGCUCUUACCAACACAUCUUUAGGGUGCACCUGGUGAAUCUGAACCAUUUCCUUGAGCUUGAGCCAGAAUUCUGUAUUCCUACUGAUGACCUUAAGUGAGGGCAGCUCUGACAAAAUGCUCUACUCUGCUGUGGGGUGAAGGGCUUAUGGAUGGUUGUAAUCAUGAUCAAAAGGGCUCACUCGGGUCAUCAGAGUUCUUGACCUGAAAUUGCUUGACCUCAAUAGGUGCCUUCCUGACAGAUAUAUCAGGAUAAAACCUCUCCCUGAAAUAUCUCCACACUAAUUCCCACACUAUGCAAAACAUAAAUGACGGGUACAAGUUAAACAGUACACACUUAAAAUCGCCAAUCUUUUCAAAGAUAAGAUCAAGAUUUUAUUACACAUGGUACAUUUAGAGUCCUUAGAAUAUUUCAAGGGAUAACAUAAAAAUGAAACAAAAAUCUGGACUUGUGGCCAACCACUCAACCUCUUAAGCUUCACUGCCAUUUAAUAAGAUCACAGGAGAAUUAAUUGUAACCUCAGCUCUGCAUUCCAACUUUCCGAUGAUAACAUUUCACCCCUUGUUAAUUAAUAUCUGCCUUAAAAUAUUUAAAAGCUCUGCUUCCACCACCCUUGAGGAAGAGAACUCCAAACAUUGAUAACCCUCGGUGAGAAAGAGAUUCAUAUAAUCUCUGCCUUAAAUGUCUGGCCCCUUGUUGGGGCACUUUUGGAGUUAGCACAUAUAACAAAUAUCUUCAGUAACUGACUUCAGCCACCAAUCUCCAAAUGUUAAAUGUAGAUUAAAUUUGAAACGCAGCUCUGAACAACAGAUUCCCAAGAACUGUGAAUCACAGUUAAAUGGAAGAGCAGACAAUGCUGAUUUAAAUGUAGUGUGGGUGCGAAGAGGGAGGUGUGAUGGUUGUAUGUAAUUCAAAGGAAGCUUUGUGCAUGCAUUGUAAAUAUGGAAUUGUCCUGAAUUGUUCUUUAAUCUUCAGCAUAUAAAAUGUUGUGUAGUAUUGGCUCAAUGUGUCCUUUUACCUCUGAAAGGUGUCUCGAUCUGAUGCCUGCUCUGUCUUAUUUUGUCGAAUAAAGAGACUGCUUCAUA
Hypanus sabinus (Atlantic stingray) is the source of this 1967-nucleotide long non-coding RNA. RefSeq lists it as uncharacterized. The transcript has 3 exons. The record is from RefSeq and is a predicted model, not a curated record. NCBI's taxonomy places the organism in Eukaryota, Metazoa, Chordata, Chondrichthyes, Myliobatiformes, Dasyatidae.